GAAUGCUGAAGCGUUUAUUGGAGCUCGUGUUGGCGGGUUAUAGAAACACAGAGCAGCUUUACAGAGAGAAGGAACACAUCAGCAGAUGAUGAUCAAACAAACCCCCCCCCCCCCCGUCUAAUUAUCAUUACCCAUUGCAAACUGUUCUUUUGCAGAGUAAUUGAGAAUCAUCUCCCACUUUGUGAAUGUUUCUCUGGUUCGGGUCGGCGGCUCGGGAAGCCCGCAUGUUCAGUGGAGCGGGAGCCACCGGAACCGCAACAUCUGGUG
Molecule: long non-coding RNA, 267 nt
Organism: Gasterosteus aculeatus aculeatus (three-spined stickleback)
Lineage: Eukaryota; Metazoa; Chordata; Actinopteri; Perciformes; Gasterosteidae
Source: Ensembl